This 70-nucleotide small nucleolar RNA is filed under the name Carlito syrichta (Philippine tarsier). RNAcentral's name for it is "Z6 small nucleolar RNA (ENSTSYG00000032720.1)". It matches the Rfam family "Z6 small nucleolar RNA". From Rfam's summary of the family: Z6 belongs to the C/D class of snoRNA which contain the C (UGAUGA) and D (CUGA) box motifs. Lineage: Eukaryota; Metazoa; Chordata; Mammalia; Primates; Tarsiidae. The record is from Rfam by way of RNAcentral.
UGCUUUUAAUCCCCCUCCCUGUUUAGGGCUCCCGGGAGCCAGGGGAGAUGCUGCCCCGGAAGCUGAAGCA